Molecule: ribosomal RNA, 1109 nt
Filed under: Acinetobacter seifertii
Lineage: Bacteria; Pseudomonadati; Pseudomonadota; Gammaproteobacteria; Moraxellales; Moraxellaceae
Description: bacterial SSU rRNA
Rfam family: Bacterial small subunit ribosomal RNA
Source: RNAcentral
CGGAUGCGGCAGCUUACACAUGCAGUCGAGCGGAGAGAGGUAGCUUGCUACUGAUCUUAGCGGCGGACGGGUGAGUAAUGCUUAGGAAUCUGCCUAUUAGUGGGGGACAACAUCUCGAAAGGGAUGCUAAUACCGCAUACGUCCUACGGGAGAAAGCAGGGGAUCUUCGGACCUUGCGCUAAUAGAUGAGCCUAAGUCGGAUUAGCUAGUUGGUGGGGUAAAGGCCUACCAAGGCGACGAUCUGUAGCGGGUCUGAGAGGAUGAUCCGCCACACUGGGACUGAGACACGGCCCAGACUCCUACGGGAGGCAGCAGUGGGGAAUAUUGGACAAUGGGGGGAACCCUGAUCCAGCCAUGCCGCGUGUGUGAAGAAGGCCUUAUGGUUGUAAAGCACUUUAAGCGAGGAGGAGGCUACUUUAGUUAAUACCUAGAGAUAGUGGACGUUACUCGCAGAAUAAGCACCGGCUAACUCUGUGCCAGCAGCCGCGGUAAUACAGAGGGUGCAAGCGUUAAUCGGAUUUACUGGGCGUAAAGCGCGCGUAGGCGGCUAAUUAAGUCAAAUGUGAAAUCCCCGAGCUUAACUUGGGAAUUGCAUUCGAUACUGGUUAGCUAGAGUGUGGGAGAGGAUGGUAGAAUUCCAGGUGUAGCGGUGAAAUGCGUAGAGAUCUGGAGGAAUACCGAUGGCGAAGGCAGCCAUCUGGCCUAACACUGACGCUGAGGUGCGAAAGCAUGGGGAGCAAACAGGAUUAGAUACCCUGGUAGUCCAUGCCGUAAACGAUGUCUACUAGCCGUUGGGGCCUUUGAGGCUUUAGUGGCGCAGCUAACGCGAUAAGUAGACCGCCUGGGGAGUACGGUCGCAAGACUAAAACUCAAAUGAAUUGACGGGGGCCCGCACAAGCGGUGGAGCAUGUGGUUUAAUUCGAUGCAACGCGAAGAACCUUACCUGGCCUUGACAUAGUAAGAACUUUCCAGAGAUGGAUUGGUGCCUUCGGGAACUUACAUACAGGUGCUGCAUGGCUGUCGUCAGCUCGUGUCGUGAGAUGUUGGGUUAAGUCCCGCAACGAGCGCAACCCUUUUCCUUAUUUGCCAGCGAGUAAUGUCGGGAACUU